Ribosomal RNA from Lupinus angustifolius (narrow-leaved blue lupine), 113 nucleotides. It matches the Rfam family "Bacterial large subunit ribosomal RNA", at positions 1071 to 1184 of the family's 2925-position model. NCBI's taxonomy places the organism in Eukaryota, Viridiplantae, Streptophyta, Magnoliopsida, Fabales, Fabaceae. The record is from Rfam.
GGAGGAAGGGGUGUAGAGACAGGCAUGAGGUUUGCCUAGAAGUAGCCACACUUGAAAGAGUGCGUAAUAACUCACUGAUCGAGCGCUCUUGUGCUGAAGAUAAAUGGGGCUAA